GAUGAACGCUGGCGGCGUGCCUAAUACAUGCAAGUCGAACGCUGAAGGAAGGAGCUUGCUCUUUCCGGAUGAGUUGCGAACGGGUGAGUAACGCGUAGGUAACCUGCCUGGUAGCGGGGGAUAACUAUUGGAAACGAUAGCUAAUACCGCAUAACAGUAGAUGUUGCAUGAUAUCUACUUAAAAGGUGCAAUUGCACCACUACCAGAUGGACCUGCGUUGUAUUAGCUAGUUGGUGAGGUAACGGCUCACCAAGGCGACGAUACAUAGCCGACCUGAGAGGGUGAUCGGCCACACUGGGACUGAGACACGGCCCAGACUCCUACGGGAGGCAGCAGUAGGGAAUCGUCGGCAAUGGACGGAAGUCUGACCGAGCAACGCCGCGUGAGUGAAGAAGGGUUUCGGAUCGUAAAGCUCUGUUGUAAGAGAAGAACGAGUGUGAGAGUGGAAAGUUCACACUGUGACGGUAGCUUACCAGAAAGGGACGGCUAACUACGUG
Molecule: ribosomal RNA, 497 nt
Filed under: uncultured bacterium
Lineage: Bacteria
Description: partial 16S ribosomal RNA
Rfam family: Bacterial small subunit ribosomal RNA
Source: RNAcentral